CUGUAGCUAAAAGACCUCCAAUGGCGUAGCAACACCUGUCCUGCUUUCUGACCUUUCUUUAUUUUUUUUUACUCUGAAAGUUGAAAACGACGUCGUUUCAGCUUCAGCAUUGUUUCUCUGGAAAUCGCGUGUUUCCUCUCCUUUCUACACACUCUGCCGUACAAUUCAUCAUCUUCUGUUUCUCUUCCGCCUCCAAUCUCCCUUCAACCCUAGCUGGCAACCACGUCACCUUGACCAGAAGAUGUGCUCUCCACGAUCUGCGGCUUCUUCUCAUGGCUUCUCCGGUGCUGGCUUUCACGUCAAUCCUUCAACCAUUACGUGGGGUGAGAAGAUUGAAGCAAAUGUGCGGCAAUCAAUGAUACCAAAAUUCUGUAGUUGCUUCCUGGAACAUGUAUUCAAUUGAUCUUGGUUGGAGUAGCUAUACUUGAUUUUGAUCACUUCCUUUGAGUUGCUAUUACUGUUGAUUUUGAAUACUGGAAACAUGUAGUUUCCAAGUCUUAUCUAAAUGGGAUGGGAAUUCAAUAGUCCAAUAUGUGGAAUGUUAUGGAUAUGAGAUCGAUCCAUGGAGGGUUUGCUGCCACUUUGAAGGAUUUGAAAGUUUGGGUAAUGAAUGUGGUUACAGUAGAUACACUUCCUAUUAUUUAUGAAAGAGAUCCUAUGAAUCUACAUUACAUGCUUUGUACCAGUCAUAUGUAUCAUCUUGGAAAGUUUUGGUGCACACAU
This is a long non-coding RNA of Lotus japonicus, 723 nucleotides long. RefSeq lists it as uncharacterized. Lineage: Eukaryota; Viridiplantae; Streptophyta; Magnoliopsida; Fabales; Fabaceae. The transcript has 4 exons. The record is from RefSeq and is a predicted model, not a curated record.